This 292-nucleotide ribosomal RNA is filed under the name uncultured bacterium. RNAcentral's name for it is "partial 16S ribosomal RNA". It matches the Rfam family "Bacterial small subunit ribosomal RNA", at positions 505 to 796 of the family's 1533-position model. The record is from RNAcentral.
GUGCCAGCCGCCGCGGUAAUACGAAGGGGGCUAGCGUUGUUCGGAUUUACUGGGCGUAAAGCGCACGUAGGCGGAUUGUUAAGUCAGAGGUGAAAUCCCGGAGCUCAACUCCGGAACUGCCUUUGAUACUGGCAAUCUAGAGUCCGGAAGAGGUGAGUGGAACUCCUAGUGUAGAGGUGGAAUUCGUAGAUAUUAGGAAGAACACCAGUGGCGAAGGCGGCUCACUGGUCCGGUACUGACGCUGAGGUGCGAAAGCGUGGGGAGCAAACAGGAUUAGAUACCCGGGUAGUCC